Molecule: ribosomal RNA, 442 nt
Filed under: uncultured Neocallimastigomycetes
Lineage: Eukaryota; Fungi; Neocallimastigomycota; Neocallimastigomycetes
Description: LSU rRNA
Rfam family: Eukaryotic large subunit ribosomal RNA
Source: RNAcentral
GCUCAAAUUUGAAAUCUUCAAGGUUUUACCUUGACGAAUUGUAGUUUAAAGAAGUGUUUUCUGUUGGUGUUUUGGUAAAAGUUCUUUGGAAUAGGACAUCAUAGAGGGUGAGAAUCCCGUAUUUGACCAUUACUUCCAGCGUUGUGAUACACUUUCAAAGAGUCGGAUUGUUUGGGAAUGCAGUCCAAAAUGGGUGGUAAAUUUCAUCUAAAGCUAAAUAUUGGCGAGAGACCGAUAGCGAACAAGUACCGUGAGGGAAAGAUGAAAAAGAACUUUGAAAAGAGAGUUAAACAGUACGUGAAAUUGUCAAAAGGGAAGCGUUUGACACCAGUGUUGUUUUCUCGAAAAUCAAUUAAAAAAAGUUGGAUUUUGUAUUGUUAAGACCUUAUCAGCUUACUGUACUCUUUUCUUGCUUUUUUUAAUGCACUUUUCGUUUAACAAG